UGGAAAUCAUUCAUAGAGUGUAAAGGCAUAAGGGAGCUUGACUGCGAGACCUACAAGUCGAGCAGGGUCGAAAGACGGACUUAGUGAUCCGGUGGUUCCGCAUGGAAGGGCCAUCGCUCAACGGAUAAAAGCUACCCCGGGGAUAACAGGCUUAUCUCCCCCAAGAGUUCACAUCGACGGGGAGGUUUGGCACCUCGAUGUCGGCUCAUCGCAUCCUGGGGCUGUAGUCGGUCCCAAGGGUUGGGCUGUUCGCCCAUUAAAGCGGUACGCGAGCUGGGUUCAGAACGUCGUGAGACAGUUCGGUCCCUAUCCGUCGUGGGCGUAGGAAAUUUGAGAGGAGCUGUCCUUAGUACGAGAGGACCGGGAUGGACAUACCUCUGGUGUACCAGUUGUCGUGCCAACGGCAUAGCUGGGUAGCUAUGUGUGGACGGGAUAAGUGCUGAAAGCAUCUAAGCAUGAAGCCCCCCUCAAGAUGAGAUUUCCCAACUUCGGUUAUAAGAUCCCUCAAAGAUGAUGAGGUUAAUAGGUUCGAGGUGGAAGCAUGGUGACAUGUGGAGCUGACGAAUACUAAUCGAUCGAAGACUUAAUCAAAA
RNAcentral lists this ribosomal RNA (593 nucleotides) under Staphylococcus aureus. Its description in RNAcentral is "partial 23S ribosomal RNA". It matches the Rfam family "Bacterial large subunit ribosomal RNA", at positions 2332 to 2925 of the family's 2925-position model. Lineage: Bacteria; Bacillati; Bacillota; Bacilli; Caryophanales; Staphylococcaceae. The record is from RNAcentral.